GGCGGGCGGAGGAGGAGCGGGGAGGAGGAGAGUCGCGGGGUUGGCGUUGGACGGUUGCGAGCGGCAGUUGGAGGAGAUGGAAGGCAGAGCAAUCAUGAUGCAACCAUGAGACAACCAAAGGGAUGAAAACUACAUGCAAAAGUUGCUGGAGCAGAAAGAUCAAAGAGCAGAAGCUUUUAAUUUUGAC
Molecule: long non-coding RNA, 187 nt
Organism: Choloepus didactylus (southern two-toed sloth)
Lineage: Eukaryota; Metazoa; Chordata; Mammalia; Pilosa; Megalonychidae
Exons: 3
Source: RefSeq, a predicted model, not a curated record